ACUGAAUUGGCCACAGAAGCUGGGCCAGGAGCAGAAGGGACUUCCUUCCCAUUAGAAGAGUUCAGUUUCCCAUUGAAAACCAUGAGCACUGCCACAGAAAAGGACUAAGCGCUGACUUCUCAAGAAAUCAGCCUUUCAGGGCACCUACCUGAGGGGGUGAUGAGGAAUUCAAAGGGUCUUUUGGUGGUGGACUUGAGGAAGGUGUGUCUCCAGGAACAUUACCUACAUUCUGUGUCUGACAGAGUUUCCUGAAAAGCAAAAUUAUACAUGAUUUAAAGAAAGCAUUCUUCAUCAGAAGUUUAGAUCUCUGGGCUUUUUCCGAAAGGAUCAUGGAGGGACCUCAAAAGAAGAUCCAAUAAGAGGGAGACAGGUAAGAGAAACCUCUGUUCCCAUCCAUGGCAGCCUGGUGCCCAUGAGGAAGAAAGGACAGAAGGAGGAGAACUGCUAAGUGAUCUCUGUGACAUUUUCACACAACUGGCAGAUUCUGUAAGAAUACAAAGAGCAGCACUGGGGCAUCCUGCUAUCAAGAUUCUUUGUCACAAGGGAUAUUUUUGAAUAGGAGAUAUCUAGUGAGGAGAGAUACAACUGGAAAUGAAGAAAUCUACUGACCAGCUAUCCCAGGUUGGAAGGAGCUGCCAUAACUUGUGCUUGCUGACAUAAUCUUUCAGAAUCAGGGUCAUCUACCAAUCAAAGACUUGAGUCAAGGCAUUUAAUAUCUGAUGAAUCAACAUGUAGCCCUCAGAUGACCAUGUUCCUAUGCACCUUACCCACAUAACGAGCUCCCGGUUUAAUG
Long non-coding RNA from Sarcophilus harrisii (Tasmanian devil), 793 nucleotides. RefSeq lists it as uncharacterized. The record is from RefSeq and is a predicted model, not a curated record. The transcript is spliced from 8 exons. Lineage: Eukaryota; Metazoa; Chordata; Mammalia; Dasyuromorphia; Dasyuridae.